GCUGGAUGUAGUGGCAUACAUCUGUCAUCUCAGCCACUUAGGAGGCUGAGGCAGGAGGGUCCCAAGUUUGAAGCCAGCCUCUGUGAGACCCUGUCUCAA
Molecule: small RNA, 99 nt
Filed under: Marmota monax (woodchuck)
Lineage: Eukaryota; Metazoa; Chordata; Mammalia; Rodentia; Sciuridae
Source: RNAcentral